Molecule: ribosomal RNA, 304 nt
Filed under: uncultured bacterium
Lineage: Bacteria
Description: partial 16S ribosomal RNA
Rfam family: Bacterial small subunit ribosomal RNA
Source: RNAcentral
CAGGCAGUCGCCACGGUAAUACGAAGGGGGCUAGCGUUGUUCGGAUUUACUGGGCGUAAAGGGCGCGUAGGCGGACUGAUAAGUCAGGGGUGAAAUCCCAAGGCUCAACCUUGGAACUGCCUUUGAUACUGUUUGUCUUGAGUUCGAGAGAGGUAAGUGGAACUGCGAGUGUAGAGGUGAAAUUCGUAGAUAUUCGCAAGAACACCAGUGGCGAAGGCGGCUUACUGGCUCGAAACUGACGCUGAGGCGCGAAAGCGUGGGGAGCAAACAGGAUUAGAGACCCCCGUAGUCCCUGUCUCUUAUA